RNAcentral lists this long non-coding RNA (1746 nucleotides) under Pan troglodytes (chimpanzee). RNAcentral's name for it is "long non-coding RNA NONPTRT008431". The record is from RNAcentral. Lineage: Eukaryota; Metazoa; Chordata; Mammalia; Primates; Hominidae.
CGGCGCUGGUGGGCGGAGUGAGCAGGGGCCGCUGGCUGCGGGGUCUGCAGGUCCCCGAGCCCCAGGAGAGGGGAUCCUGAGGGACCUGCCCGUGUGUCCUUGCAGCGGGCGCUCGGCCCCGCGGGCUCCCGGCAGCGCCCAGGAAAGGCCGUUUCGCCCUGCGAGGGACACAGAGCCGUUGACCGUGGUUGCAACUGGCAGUUGGCGCAGUAAGGACCCAGCCAGUGUUUCAGAUUUGCUGGGCCGUGGCUGUCACCCAGGGAGCUGCUAAGGGCAUCCAUACCUGAAGGCGGAAGGCAGGAUUGCCGGCGGAGAAGAGAUCCAGGUGCCUUGAUGUGAGUGUUGACGGUGGAAAGCAGGCCAGAGCCAGAGACAGAGUCUUGCUAUGUUGCCUAGACUGGCUUCAAGCUCCCAGGCUUAACAGUCCUCCUGCCUCAGCCUCCUGAGUAGUUGGGACUAUAGACUUGUGCCACCAUGCCCAGCUUGCACUGGUUAUUUUUGGCAGAAGGGAAGUUUCAUCAUAAAGCCUUUCUCUUCAGCUCCGGGUGCCAGCUGGAGCCCCAGAAGAGGAUCAGGCAUCGUGUUUAGUCACAACCCCCACUCCUUCAUUGGGCCAGCAAAUAUCUAUCCAUCUUCCCACCGUCUACUCGCAGCCAACCAUGUUCCUGACACUGAAGCCAGAGAAGACCAGUGUCUCCCUGUAAACCGUGGCCUUCUGUGCACCGAGCUCAGUGGCUCUUCCCCACCAAAACUCCUAAGAGAAUUCAUCCCUCCCCAAAAGGAUCCCCACGAGAUGUUCUGGCCCUCUGCUGACUGCUCCCUGGAAUCUGCACCUCAAGCACUGAGAAUGCUGCGCUCUCCAUUGGUCACCGUCAGACUCCAUUUCCCUGCUGCCAAGUCUUCUCUUCUGCCCUGUGUAUUCCGUGGUGACCCCCUUAAUGUCUGUUCUGUGCCACUAGCUUGGCCCUGGGCCUUUUAUUUAUACCCGAGUCUUACAACGAAGAGUGUCCUGAGCAGACAGUGUCCACCUUCUUUGCUCUUCAGGGGCCUGAGUGUGCUCCUUUCCCUUUUGCAGGUCUAUUGGACAUAGUAAUCCAGUGCGCUGGGGAGGGGUAGCCAGGCCGGCUACAGAGUCUGCAAUGCAGGGGCUUGGGGAGGUUUGGAUUCUCUCUGUCAGCACUAUUGAGAUGAUAUUCAGAAGAGAGAGGACCUCAUACUGUGACCAGACCCAGGACCCUUCCUGGAAGACAGCUCAGUCCAGCUGUGUGUGUGUGUGUGUGUGUGUGUGUGUGUGUGUGUGAGAGAGAGAGAGAGUUAUGUGUGUGCUGUGCUCAUGUGCAUCUGGGUGUAAAAUGACUGUUAGCUGGUUGUGUUACUCAGGGUGGGCUGGGGACUCACUGGAAGAAUCCCCCCAGCCUGCCCAAGACAGGUUUUUUCCUUGUGCCCUCUUCAGAGAGGGUCAGGGGAAGAGGGUCCAGGUGGGCAAAGGCGGAGAUGCCACAAAUGAUUAACCACUAAGGCCAGACGGCUGCCAGGAGGAGUGGGGGAUGAUGAGGUGGCCCCAGGGUCCGGGCAAUUGGCUUUGGUUUUCCGUCUUCUUUCCUCAGGAUGCCCCUGAGGCCUGGGACCUGUGCCUGGCUUUGAGGAGCAUCUGUGGCUUGGCGAUCCAGCUGCUGGGGUGAUCGUGGGCUUCCCUCCUCUCAGCAGGGCUGGAGUUCUUGCCCCAGAGACUGGACAAGUGGCUGU